Long non-coding RNA from Lates calcarifer (barramundi perch), 311 nucleotides. RefSeq lists it as uncharacterized. NCBI's taxonomy places the organism in Eukaryota, Metazoa, Chordata, Actinopteri, Centropomidae. The record is from RefSeq and is a predicted model, not a curated record. The transcript is spliced from 2 exons.
GUGUGUACAGUAUUGAUCUCAUCCAGCCAGAGUCAAAGGUUGUGCAGCCUGGACAGUCUUUGACCAUCACCUGUCAGGUCUCUGGUUAUUCUCUGACUAGUAGCAGCUAUGCAACAGGUUGGAUCAGACAGUGUGAAGGAAAACCAAUGGACUGGAUUUUUCAUCAGUAUGGAGGAAGCAGUAGCAACUUAUAUCAAAAUAACGCUCUGAAGAACAGGUUCAGCUACAGCAGAGACAUGUCUGCUGGAACAGUGACUAUAACAGGACAGAAUCCGCAGCCUGAGGACACAGCUGUUUAUUACUGUGUACGU